RNAcentral lists this ribosomal RNA (263 nucleotides) under uncultured bacterium. RNAcentral's name for it is "partial 16S ribosomal RNA". It matches the Rfam family "Bacterial small subunit ribosomal RNA", at positions 524 to 786 of the family's 1533-position model. The record is from RNAcentral.
UACGGAGGAUGCAAGCGUUAUCCGGAUUUAUUGGGUUUAAAGGGUGCGUAGGCGGGGCAGCAAGUCAGUGGUGAAAUCUUUCGGCUUAACUGAAAAACUACCAUUGAAACUGUUGUCCUUGAGUAUAUUUGGAGUGGGCGGAAUGUGUCAUGUAGCGGUGAAAUGCUUAGAUAUGACACAGAACACCAAUCGCGAAGGCAGCUCACUAAACUAUAACUGACGCUGAAGCACGAAAGCGUGGGGAUCAAACAGGAUUAGAUACC